RNAcentral lists this ribosomal RNA (253 nucleotides) under uncultured bacterium. Its description in RNAcentral is "partial 16S ribosomal RNA". It matches the Rfam family "Bacterial small subunit ribosomal RNA", at positions 524 to 776 of the family's 1533-position model. The record is from RNAcentral.
UACGUAGGGGGCUAGCGUUGUCCGGAAUCAUUGGGCGUAAAGCGCGUGUAGGCGGUUCGGUAAGUCCGCUGUGAAAGUCGGGGGCUCAACCCUCGAAUGCCGGUGGAUACUGUCGGACUAGAGUACGGAAGAGGCGAGUGGAAUUCCUGGUGUAGCGGUGAAAUGCGCAGAUAUCAGGAGGAACACCAAUUGCGAAGGCAGCUCGCUGGGACGUUACUGACGCUGAGGCGCGAAAGCGUGGGGAGCGAACAGG